RNAcentral lists this ribosomal RNA (989 nucleotides) under Brucella ciceri. RNAcentral describes it as "bacterial SSU rRNA". It matches the Rfam family "Bacterial small subunit ribosomal RNA", at positions 75 to 1056 of the family's 1533-position model. Lineage: Bacteria; Pseudomonadati; Pseudomonadota; Alphaproteobacteria; Hyphomicrobiales; Brucellaceae. The record is from RNAcentral.
CCCUUUCGGGGGUCCAGCCCGGCACGACGUGGUGUAGUCAACGCGUGGGAACGCUACCAUUUGCUACGGAAUAACUCAGGGAAACUUGUGCUAAUACCGUAUGAGCCCCCCUUUAAAAUUUCAGGAAUCAUAAAAUGCCCUGCCAUUUUUUGGGGGGGAAAGAUUUAACGGCAAAUGAUCGGCCCGCGUUGGAUUAUCUACUUGGUGGGGUAAAGGCCUACCAAGGCGACAAUCCAUACCUGGUCUGAGAGGAUGAUCACCCACACUGGGACUGAGACACGGCCCAGACUCCUACGGGAGGCACCAUUGGGGAAUAUUGGACAAUGGGCGCAAGCCUGAUCCUUCCAUGCCGCGUGAAUGAUGAAGGCCCUAGGGUUGUAAAGCUCUUUCACCGGUGAAAAUAAUGACGGUAACCGGAAAAGAAGCCCCGGCUAACUUCAUGCCAACAGCCGCGGUAAUACGAAGGGGGCUAGCGUUGUUCGGAUUUACUGGGCGUAAAGCGCACCUAGGCGGGCUAAUAAGUCAGGGGUGAAAUCCCGGGGCUCAACCCCGGAACUGCCUUUGAUACUGUUAGUCUUGAGUAUGGUAGAGGUGAGUGAAAUUCCGAGUGUAGAGGUGAAUUUCCUAGAUAUUCGGAGGAACUCCAAUGGCAAAGGCAGCUCACUGGACCAUUUCUGACGCUGAUGUGCGAAAGCCUGGGGACCAAACAGGAUUAGAUACCCUGGUACUCCACGCCGUAAACGAUGACUGUUAGCCUUUGGGGAGUUUACUCUUCGGUGGCGCAGCUAACGCAUUAAACUUUCCGCCGGCGGAGUACGGUCGCAAAAUUAAAGCUCAAGGAAUUGACGGGGGCCCGCCAAACGGUGGAUCGGGUGGUUUAAUUCGAAACAACGCGCAAAACCUUACCGGCCCUUGACAUCCCGAUCCCGGUUAGGGAAACGCUAUCCUCCACUCCGCUGGAACGGAAACGGUGCUGCAUGGCUGUCGCC